CCUACGGGUGGCAGCAGUGGGGAAUAUUGCACAAUGGGGGAAACCCUGAUGCAGCGACGCCGCGUGAGUGAAGAAGUCUUUCGGUAUGUAAAGCUCUAUCAGCAGGGAAGAAAACGACGGUACUUGUUUAAGAAGCCCUGGCUAACUACGUGCCAGCAGCCGCGGUCAUACGGAGGGGGCAAGCGUUAUCCGGAUUUACUGGGUGUAAAGGGAGCGUAGACGGCAGCACAAGUCGGGAGUGAAAUGCCGGGGCUUAACCCCGGAACUGCUUUGGAAACUGUGCAGCUAGAGUGCAGGAGAGGUAAGUAGAAUUCCUGGUGUAGCGGUGAAAUGCGUAGAUAUUAGGAGGAACACCAGUGGCGAAGGCGGCUUACUGGACUGUAACUGACGUUGAGGCUCGAAAGCGUGGGGAGCAAACAGGAUUAGAUACCCUUGUAGUC
This 440-nucleotide ribosomal RNA is filed under the name uncultured bacterium. RNAcentral's name for it is "partial 16S ribosomal RNA". It matches the Rfam family "Bacterial small subunit ribosomal RNA", at positions 338 to 795 of the family's 1533-position model. The record is from RNAcentral.